Molecule: unclassified non-coding RNA, 352 nt
Filed under: Hevea brasiliensis (rubber tree)
Lineage: Eukaryota; Viridiplantae; Streptophyta; Magnoliopsida; Malpighiales; Euphorbiaceae
Source: RNAcentral
CGUAGCUUUGGACCUGUGCUAUACCAACCUACGAUGUGCUCCUUAGCAUUUAUCCUCUUAAACAUUGAAAACAUCGAUUCAUGAUAGUUGUGGUCAAGAAACCAUAUGCUUGGAUCUUUCUCAUCUUCUUCAAAGGGAACUGCAUAGCUAUUGCUGACAUCGACGGUGCCCUUGAAAGAGCUACCGAGUAAAACUCCUACAACUCGUUUGCGGGAUUCUUUAGCGACUCGGUUGUAGUUAUCGACGAUGCUGAGUAAAACCAAAGGGUGGACUACAACCUUCUCGACUGGCCUCGAUGAUAUUUGCUGCGUCUUGAUCACAUCCAUGGCGGAAUUUUUGCAGUAUCUCCGAG